Non-coding RNA from Caenorhabditis elegans, 21 nucleotides. NCBI's taxonomy places the organism in Eukaryota, Metazoa, Nematoda, Chromadorea, Rhabditida, Rhabditidae. The record is from Ensembl.
CUAGUCAUAUUCUGCGCAAUU